Molecule: ribosomal RNA, 563 nt
Filed under: uncultured bacterium
Lineage: Bacteria
Description: bacterial SSU rRNA
Rfam family: Bacterial small subunit ribosomal RNA
Source: RNAcentral
CCUACGGGAGGCAGCAGUGGGGAAUCUUGCGCAAUGGGCGAAAGCCUGACGCAGCAACGCCGCGUGCGGGAUGAAGGCCCUCGGGUUGUAAACCGCUUUCAGCAGGGACGAAGAUGACGGUACCUGCAGAAGAAGCCCCGGCCAACUACGUGCCAGCAGCCGCGGUAACACGUAGGGGGCGAGCGUUGUCCGGAUUUAUUGGGCGUAAAGAGCUCGUAGGCGGUUCCGUCAGUCGGGUGUGAAAACUCUGGGCUCAACCCAGAGACGCCACCCGAUACUGCGGUGACUAGAGUCCGGUAGGGGAGUGCGGAAUUCCUGGUGUAGCGGUGAAAUGCGCAGAUAUCAGGAGGAACACCAACGGCGAAGGCAGCACUCUGGGCCGGUACUGACGCUGAGGAGCGAAAGCGUGGGGAGCGAACAGGAUUAGAUACCCUGGUAGUCCACGCCGUAAACGUUGGGCACUAGGUGUGGGACCUUUCCAACGGGUUCCGUGCCGCAGCUAACGCAUUAAGUGCCCGCCUGGGGAGUACGGCCGCAAGGCUAAAACUCAAAGGAAUUGACGG